This 488-nucleotide ribosomal RNA is filed under the name uncultured bacterium. RNAcentral describes it as "partial 16S ribosomal RNA". It matches the Rfam family "Bacterial small subunit ribosomal RNA", at positions 28 to 507 of the family's 1533-position model. The record is from RNAcentral.
GACGAACGCUGGCGGCGUGCUUAACACAUGCAAGUCGAACGCGCCUGUCCUCUGGGUUUCUGGGGGGUGGGUGAGUGGCGAACGGGUGAGUAACACGUGAGUAACCGGCCCCCUUCUUCGGGAUAACGGUCUGAAAGGGCUGCUAAUACCGGGUAUUCACUGGUCUCCGCAUGGGGUCUGGUGGAAAGGUUUUUUUCUGGUGGGGGAUGGGCUCGCGGCCUAUCAGCUUGUUGGUGGGGUGAUGGCCCACCAAGGCUUUGACGGGUAGCCGGCCUGAGAGGGUGACCGGUCACAUUGGGACUGAGAUACGGCCCAGACUCCUACGGGAGGCAGCAGUGGGGAAUAUUGCACAAUGGGCGCAAGCCUGAUGCAGCGACGCCGCGUGAGGGAUGGAGGCCUUCGGGUUGUGAACCUCUUUCGCCCGUGGUCAAGCCGCGACGUGGGUCGUGGUGAGGGUAGUGGGUACAGAAGCGCCGGCUAACUACGUG